Molecule: long non-coding RNA, 1415 nt
Organism: Rattus rattus (black rat)
Lineage: Eukaryota; Metazoa; Chordata; Mammalia; Rodentia; Muridae
Exons: 2
Source: RefSeq, a predicted model, not a curated record
UCCCCAGCCCCAGUCUCAGAUCUAUGCAUCAGCAAAGGUCUCAGCUCAGCUCCCAUAAGGCCUUAGGACAGGAGAAAGGGGAUUGCCCGGUGGAACAGGGCCCCUUGCCAGCAACUAUAAUCUUUAAGCUGAAAGCAAGAAGGUGGAUCCUGAUAGAAACCUGCACACUUGGACCAGAAAUGUCUUUGAAGAAAGUCCUGCAUAAGAGCCUGGAGACAAGGAAAAGAGAGGACCCAGAGCACACUAGGUUCCCGGUAGGGACCCAGCAGGUGUAGAGUGCCUUGGACCUUGGACAACUGAAUAAGGGAAGACUGAAGGCCUGCAUGCUUCUACCGCCAGGGUUGCCUGAGUAUAGUGAACAAGCACUUAGGCCCUCGCACAGACUUCUGGCCGCCUAGGCGGAGAGCACAGGACGGGACAGAUGCGGAAGGACUGGGCCACCGAGCUGUCUGCCCCACCCUGCCCUCUGUGGGCCUCCUAGAACAGCCUGUCCCUGGCGCCCGCGGUUCCGUCGUAACCCGGGGCUUCCUGGAGACUGAGAAUCCAGUCGCAGAGCCCACUGACCGCACGGUUUCCGAGAGCCCCGCCCCACCGCAGGGCUGGUCUGCGACCGGAGGACACGCCCAUGGAUGGGGGACACGCCUCCACAAGGACCCGCCCAUUUUCCUAGAUUUGCCUCAUUGAACACAAGCACCUGGUCACAACAGGCCAGUCAUGCUCCUGCCCUACCCCGAAGGCCCGCCCAGACUAGCGGGGUGGGCUACGGAGUGCGCGGCCCCUACGCCUUAGACCCUAACGGGAUCCUUGAGUCCUCUGGUGCUCAGGGAUGAGGACUGCUCACCUGUAAGCGAAAGCUGGUUCCCGGGCACCCAUGUUCAACGCUAGGUGGCUACGAGAGGUGCUCGGCCCUCAGGCGGUGUGGGUCCCCAGCUAUGCCCCGCGGCCAUCGUGCUUUGUGUACCGCGACCUUCAUCAGGCUUCCCGAGGAGUAGUGGGCAAUCGCGGCCCAGAACACCGGCGCUGAGCUGGGAGAGCGCAGGGCAGAAACACGAGACCCCGGCAAAACUUGGGACAUGGAGCGAGAAGGCACGAACAGAGAAGGGACAGCUUCUGAAUCACAUUUUUCCCUAAGACAGGGUGUAUCCCUGGAACGCGCUCUGUUGACCAAACUGGCUUCGAACUCAGAGAGCUCUGCCCUGCCCUGCGGUCCGAAUGCUGGCAUAAUUGCUUGUGCCACCACCACCGGCCUGAAUCACAUUUUUAAAAAAGGUCUUGGUGUUGGUUGUGAACUGGAAGGAAGGUCUUAAAUUCAUCUGUUCACAAUUUAUUGUUCUAUCUUACUAUAGUGUGAAAGCCGAUUUAAGCAAUCCUGGUGUUCUCCUUUUGGUAUUGUAUUAAAUUAUAUGAGAUAGUCA